This is a non-coding RNA of Bos taurus (domestic cattle), 93 nucleotides long. NCBI's taxonomy places the organism in Eukaryota, Metazoa, Chordata, Mammalia, Artiodactyla, Bovidae. The record is from Rfam.
GAGUUUUUGAUGUCGCAGAUACUGCAUCAGGAACUGAUUGGAUAAGAAUCGGUCACCAUCAGUUCCUCAUGCAUUGCCUUCAGCAUCUAAACA